GGUUAAUUCCGUUAACGAGCGAGACCUGGGCGUGCUAAAUAGGAGCUACUACCGUUUUUGGUAGUACGUUACUUCUUCUUAGACGGACUGCGGGCGUCUAGUCCGCGGAAGCUCCAGGCAAURACAGGUCUGAGAUGCCCUUAGAUGUUCUGGGCCGCASRCGUGCUASACUGAGUGGAUCAGCGGGUCAGGUUGCACGAAAGUGUUUCCUAAUCUUGAAAUCSGCUCGUGAUGGGGAUUGAGGGUUGCAAUUUUCCCUCAUGAACGAGGAAUACCUUGURAGCGUGGGUCAUCRUCCCGSGCUGAAUACKUCCCUGCCCUUUGUACACACCGCCCGUCGCUCCUACCGAUUGAGUGGUCCGGUGAGGCUUUGGGAUUGCAGCGGGAAGAGCGUUUCGCUCGUUCUGCCGCGAGAACUCAAUCRAACCUUAUCAUUUAKAGGAA
Molecule: ribosomal RNA, 444 nt
Filed under: Hapalidiales sp. ZZ_Twist-2019
Lineage: Eukaryota; Rhodophyta; Florideophyceae; Hapalidiales
Description: partial small subunit ribosomal RNA
Rfam family: Eukaryotic small subunit ribosomal RNA
Source: RNAcentral